CGGAAGGGAUGGUCUGUGAAGCAUUCUACGCUUCAAGGAGACUGGAAUGCAUGGAUUCAACUGCGUCUUUAAGUUUUCACUUAGAAGUUGAACAAAAGAAUUGCAACAUCUGUUCAUACAACUUUGUAUGACCAGUGUUUCCUGUUUCCAAGCGCAACCAGAAUAGGUAACACAGCACAUACUGAUGAAAUGAAUGUCAGUUAUAUAAACACAGGUUGUGGUUCAGUCAUGAAUGCAUUAAUUGCAGGUGGGACUGGAUUAUGAGAGAGAAUAAAAGUGGAAAGACAAAGAGAUAACCAACAUACUGUUCCAAGAGUAAAACAGAAUCAGUAAACCAUCUCAGGUUAGCGAACAUGCAACUCCACAAAGGGAAGUUUUUGCAUCAUAUACUCAACAAUGUCGAAAAUUCCAACUCGCCCAGACAUUGAAGUCGAACUAUGACGUGGAAUCAUAAAAUAAGAGAUCAACUUCAAAAAAUCUAGCCUAUAACUGCUGCUACUGGUUUCCUGCUUUGUGUCACAACUACACUAAGAUGUAAUUAUGCAGGAGUAGGAGUUGGAUCCGCUGAACCAUUCGCAGCAGGUAGAGGCCUAAGAGCUUUGAGAGGGUUGGAGAUAACGGCAUCAAUUAGACCAUAUUCCUG
RNAcentral lists this long non-coding RNA (643 nucleotides) under Physcomitrium patens. RNAcentral describes it as "long non-coding RNA (PPAT_LNC013804)". The record is from RNAcentral. Lineage: Eukaryota; Viridiplantae; Streptophyta; Bryopsida; Funariales; Funariaceae.